GAGUUUGAUCCUGGCUCAGAGCGAACGCUGGCGGCAGGCCUAACACAUGCAAGUCGAACGAGACCUUCGGGUCUAGUGGCGCACGGGUGCGUAACGCGUGGGAAUCUGCCCUUGGGUACGGAACAACAGUUAGAAAUGACUGCUAAUACCGUAUAAUGACUCCGGUCCAAAGAUUUAUCGCCCAGGGAUGAGCCCGCGUCGGAUUAGCUAGUUGGUGAGGUAAAAGCUCACCAAGGCGACGAUCCGUAGCUGGUCUGAGAGGAUGAUCAGCCACACUGGGACUGAGACACGGCCCAGACUCCUACGGGAGGCAGCAGUGGGGAAUAUUGGACAAUGGGCGAAAGCCUGAUCCAGCAAUGCCGCGUGAGUGAUGAAGGCCUUAGGGUUGUAAAGCUCUUUUACCCGGGAUGAUAAUGACAGUACCGGGAGAAUAAGCCCCGGCUAACUCCGUGCCAGCAGCCGCGGUAAG
RNAcentral lists this ribosomal RNA (469 nucleotides) under uncultured Alphaproteobacteria bacterium. RNAcentral's name for it is "bacterial SSU rRNA". It matches the Rfam family "Bacterial small subunit ribosomal RNA", at positions 9 to 524 of the family's 1533-position model. The record is from RNAcentral. Lineage: Bacteria; Pseudomonadati; Pseudomonadota; Alphaproteobacteria.